CUGUGUGCAGGCAGCGCUCCUCCUCCACUUACUUUAUGCACACAGCAAUAACACUACAUAAUACGGGGCAGUAAGAGCUAACCAAACACAGCUCGGUUCACUAAGACCAUGAGCUUAUGAACUUCACACUGGCUAGAUAUGGGAAGGAGCUGGACUGGUCGGAUCGCUACUGCCAGGUGACAUUAGCAUGGAGAAAGUAAAGGGGUGCAUUAAUUCCAGUCUUGUCAUACUCUGCCCCAUGAAUGGAGUUUGUAGCCUGCAAGAGAAUGAAGCUACCAAACAGGAUAGAGAAAUUUUAAAUUCUUGCUCAGAAACUUGAAGUUACAGACCAAGGUGAAUGUCUGGAGAGCUGAAUAUAUAAUCUUUAUAUCAUGAAUACGACCAAUGACUCCAGCUCCAGUCAAAUUUUGCAGACCGUCAAAGCGUCCUUCUACCUGAUGGACUUCCUCAUCUGCUCCGUAUUCACCAUCUUGAUUACACAAACUGUGUGGAAAGACAGUGUCCUGAAAAAGGAAGUGCGAUACUUCUUCUUGUGCCACCACUUGAUGUAUUUGACGUUUUUCUUUUGUCUAGGAACUGUAUUUAGUUAUUUUCGAGCUUUCCAGGUCAAUGCCCCAGUCCUUGUUUGCUGGUCAAUUUUUGCAGUGCAGAUAAUAAUUGGAAGAGCAGUGCUAUUGACUCUUGUCUUAAUGGCUUUGAACACUUGCAUAGCUGUUUGCUGGCCUCUUAAAUAUUUAACAUUUGCUCAUACUGUAAAAUAUAAACUAAUUGUUUGUUUAUGGAUUAUUGCCUUUCUGGACCCUACAGUGUCAGUUGUCUAUGAAGGUAUAAUGAGAGGCCACCAGUAUAUUGUUCAACUGGAUUCAACUUGCCCUACUACUUUAUCAAGCACAUCGUCAAGAAUAGCUGGAGUAGCUUUCAUCAUUAUAUUAGUAAUACUUAUCACAGGAUCCUACAUUAUUAUGUUCAGAGAAGGAAAACGAGCUGGGCAUUUUACAAAAUCCAACCACCAAGCAAGAAGAACCAUCUUGAUUCAUGGACUACAGGUUGCUCUACACAUCAUUCCAACACUGAUGAACAUUUGGAUAGGUGGUAUUCCACAUUAUAUAAUUUUCGAUUUGACUAAUUUUAUUAUUUUCUCUUUAGCUCAGUGUCUUAGCCCUGUGAUAUAUGGACUGAGAGGUAAAGAACUGAGACACAAGGUUAUGAAAAGACCAUUUUGCUGUGGACCAAUUGACAAAUACUGUUCUGGAAGUUUUGAAAAUUAACACAACACACAGAACUGAAGUCUAAAGGAAAAUUAUACUGUACAGUAUAUAUGUAUUUCAUAGUGCAAUAGAACCGGUAUGACAGGUACAGAACCUUCCAUUAACACCGAUGUCUGAUCAUAUCCCUAGUUUAAUUCAUUGUACAGUUCUAAACUGAGAAUUGUGGCACUCUAAAAUGUAUUGUUUGAGUGAUAACAAUAUUGGAGGUCAGUUACAAAAGAAAACCAAAUGCAGAGCAAAUCUGGAUGUUUUCAUGUCUUCAGUGAUUUUCUAUACUUUGGGGUUGCUUUCACAUAUGGAAGCAGGGCAGAAAACUAGACAGAUGAAGAAGAAAAAACUUUAUUAUAGAAGUCCAACCUUCAUAGAAACACUAACAUAACCAUUCAUAAUGUCUAAUCAAGACAAACCCUUUACAUAUUUCCUGCAAAGGCA
Long non-coding RNA from Bufo gargarizans (Asiatic toad), 1700 nucleotides. RefSeq lists it as uncharacterized. The transcript is spliced from 3 exons. The record is from RefSeq and is a predicted model, not a curated record. Lineage: Eukaryota; Metazoa; Chordata; Amphibia; Anura; Bufonidae.